This 425-nucleotide long non-coding RNA is filed under the name Zea mays. RNAcentral's name for it is "drought responsive lncRNA". The record is from RNAcentral. Lineage: Eukaryota; Viridiplantae; Streptophyta; Magnoliopsida; Poales; Poaceae.
AGGCGCUAAAACUUGUGCUCGCAGAGGUGAUGAGGGAUGGAGAUAAGGCCGACAGGCAACAUGGAGACGUGCGUCCAGCUCUUGAAAAGAUAAUGCCGACAACGGAUAAACUAGAAGCUAGAAACGAUGGGGAUAAGUCUAGAGGAAGAUAAGGACGUGUGGGAGUAAGACAUGCCGCUUCAGGGAUUUUGGCCACGUAAUAGUAAUGCUGGCGGUGGAUGAAAUUUCCAAGGAAAUCAAGGAACAUACGAGAGACACUUUCUGGGAGCCAUUUUUUUACGUAGGAUGAGGAUUAGUUGGAGAUGGACACUUAGAGGUAAGAAAAUUCAGAUUUUCCUUCUCCAAUCUUUAACCAAUAGAAUACCCCAAAUAAGUAAAAAUCUGGGAUUUGAAUCCGAGCGAGAUGCAAACAGACCCAUCAAAAC